Molecule: unclassified non-coding RNA, 1807 nt
Filed under: Hevea brasiliensis (rubber tree)
Lineage: Eukaryota; Viridiplantae; Streptophyta; Magnoliopsida; Malpighiales; Euphorbiaceae
Source: RNAcentral
GUAGGUAUUGCAACUUAAUUAUGAGAAAGCUUAUAGAUGAUAUUGUUUUGUUACUAAAUAUGAUAAUGUUUGAUUGGAUAAUUUAUUCACUUUGUUCUCUGGUUCGGUCUAAGCCAAGAAUCUGAAUAUUGUUAUAUUCCCAUAUGAAAUUAGAUUUUGAAGUGGCUUGAAUUUUCUGUAUUUUCUUUAUCAAUUCCUUCCUCAAAACCUACAAAAUUUUAUCAUCUUCUUUUAGGUAUCAGGAUGUCAACUAAUAUUUCGAUCCCAAAUCCAUUUAACCUAUACUCUCCACAGGUUUCCUUUCUAAUUCUAGCGUUUCUUUCUCGGUGCCAUAUGCUUUUUGGGCCUUCUGAUCUGUUCUAAGAUGCUGUAUAUUCUUAACUUGGUUGUAUCCAAUGCUAUUACAAUGACUGAAAUUUUACCUGUUACUGGGUCCUCAUGUUUAAUUUAGCACUUGAUACAAGAAAUGUAUUUCAUCAAUUCUCUGCAAUGGAAGGACUUCCAUUCUUUUGAAGGCAAAUUUUCUUCUUGUUUAUUGAUUCAUUUAUUUAUUUAGAACUUAGAAUUAAUGCUGAAAUUUAAGACUUUGUGAAGGCUAAAAUGAGUGGGAAUUUAGGUGUAGAAUUGAGGGUUUGUGAAAGCAUGGAACUAAGAGGAGAAAUUGACAAAGAAGAGAAUAUUUGUGGAUUGUAAUUGUAAACAAUAAAACAAAAGGUUUAGAAGGGUGUAGAUUUGGGAAGUAAAAGUAGUACAAGAAGCAGGGUUUUGGGUCUGUUUGCAAGACUGAAUUAGGCAAAGUGAACUAUAGAACAGUUUAGGCUUCACACUAAAAACUUCCUUAGGCAUCACACCCAAGGUUCUGUAGGAUCACACUUAGGGUUGAUUUGCAUCGCAAAACUCGAAGCAUAAUUGCCAUAAUUCAUCUUGAUCAAAGCUUUUUUAUGAUACUACAAACAUAGGUAUUUAUAGAGCCAAACGGUAAUCUUUAACCUUUAAGAUUUGAUUCCCAAAAGUAAACUUUAACCUUUUAAGUAAUCCAAAAAAGGUAAUCCUUACCCAACAAGGGAUCUAAAUAAAGAUUCCUAUAGAAUCUAGAUCUUUCCAGCAAAUCUGAAAUUACAAAAUUAUCCAUGUGACACAAAUAAGUAAAAUUUUAAAAGAACUAGAAAGUACUCUAAGCUUCUUGAGUAUUUGAGUAUGAAUGUUCUCAAAUUCCUUGGCUGCAUCAUCUGAAAUGCCUUGUUUUAUUAUUUCAUGCAUCACAUUAGUUAAGGGCAUGUCGAAUUUAGUCAAUCCUAUGUGUUUUAACACUGACAAAUCACAAACUUGAUGCGGAGACAUCAGAUAGUCAUUGAAGUGUGUUUUCUAGGAUCACAAUUGCAGUUUUAAUGAUAUCCCAAGUCCAAACUGAUUCAGUUUUUAUAAGAUAUGGAAUACCUUUUAGUUAUACUGCUUAUUCUGCAGCUUUCAUUGCUUGCUUCCUCCUUUUAUGCUUGUCUUUAGAAUUCAUGCUUUGCUGAUUUUGGUUGUCUUUACUAGAGUCAAGGACCACCCUAAAAUAAUUUAUAGUUUGCAAUUCAAUUUUCAAAAGAAGAUUUCUCUUAAUGGAUGCUGAAACAGGUAUGGUCAAGGACUCAAGUCUGAGGUUGGGGAGCAUAGCUUCAUCUCUGAAGCUUCAGGAAGCAACAGGAGUCUCCAGAUUGACUCGCAGCUAGACAGUGCAUGGCCUUUGAUGCAAUCCAGAGUCUCAUCAUUUGCCACGUCAAAGUCGGCUGAUAAUUCAAUGUUGCAGAAUGAUUAUCCCCAG